UUGCAAGAUAAGCUAAAUAAGCUAUCGGGCUCAUACCCCGCCUAUGAAACACUCUAUUUCUCUUGUA
RNAcentral lists this transfer RNA (67 nucleotides) under Vema ewingi. Its description in RNAcentral is "tRNA-Met". The record is from RNAcentral. Lineage: Eukaryota; Metazoa; Mollusca; Monoplacophora; Tryblidiida; Neopilinidae.